CAACCCUCAAGCUCUGCUUGGUCUUGGGCCGCGCCGGCAACGGCGGGCCUCAAAAACAGUGGCGGCGCCAUCUGGUCCCUCAGCGUAGUAAUUCUUCUCGCUGCUGGGCCCCGGUGGCCGCUUGCCAGCAACCCCAAAUUUUUUUAU
RNAcentral lists this unclassified non-coding RNA (147 nucleotides) under uncultured Chalara. RNAcentral describes it as "partial internal transcribed spacer 2". The record is from RNAcentral. Lineage: Eukaryota; Fungi; Ascomycota; Leotiomycetes; Helotiales.